This 3684-nucleotide long non-coding RNA is filed under the name Octopus vulgaris (common octopus). The record is from RNAcentral. Lineage: Eukaryota; Metazoa; Mollusca; Cephalopoda; Octopoda; Octopodidae.
GAUGAUGGUGAUGAUAAGCUUGUGGCAAGCUUCCAGUCAUUAUUUUUUGUUUUUUGUGGUCUCUAAGAAAAAAAGUUUUGACAUUUUGGUUUGAGGAUUUUCUUGUGCUGUCAUGUGACAUCAUAGUUUUCCUCCUCCUCCUCCUCUUCUUGCUGACAUUAAAAGGUUCGCAGGGAGUCUUGCAACCUGCUAGAAAGAUCAGCUAAAUCUCCAUCAAAUGACAAUGUAUCAUAUUGAAAAAGGAAGGUAUCCGUUAGAUAACACUGGUCCUGGGUUUCCUGCAGAUAGGAAAAAGACAUGAUGGUCAUGGCAGGAGUGCCUUCAUUCAUAGGCCUGCUGAGUCAGAACAGUCCUGGGGCUAAACAGCAUCAGCUAAAAUAUAAUUCUGUUAAUGAUUAUUGCUGUUUCUUCGCCUCCUGACUUUAGCCAUCAUUGAUUGAACUUCACUCUCUUAUCCCAUGAGACCCCUAUUAAGGUUCUGAUGUAUAUUUGAUGGGAUUUAUUGAUCUACUGGAUCUGAUUGCAACAUUUGGGGCCAUUCCACCUAAUCGAAAUUGGAUCUGGGUUGAAAGAUUUUGUGUCAGAAAUUGAAAUGAGUUGUGUUUGAUAUGAUAGAUCAGUCCAUUUUAGAAGGGUAGGGGUGUAUAAGUGAGAGAUUAAUUAUUAAUGUUGGUGCAGGCGUGGCCGUGUGACUAAGAGGCUUGCUUCCCAACCAUAUGGUCUUUGGUUCCAUCCCACUGUGCAGCACUAUGGGCAAGUGUCUUCUGCUGUAGCCUCAAGCUGACCAAAGCCUUGUGAGUGAAUUUGGAAGACAGAAACUGAAAGAAGCUCGUCAUGUAUAUAUGCAUACAUAUAUAUCGGGCAUGGCUGUGUGGUUAGGGAGCUUGCUUCCUAGCUAUAUGGUUUCGGGUUCAGUCCCACUGCGUGGCACUUUGGGUAGGUGUCUUCUGCUAUAGCCCCAAGCCGACCGAAGCUUUGUGAUUGAAUUCGGCAGGCGGAAGUUACUGCCGUGUGUGUAUAUGUGUGUGUAGGUGCUUGUGCCUCUCCGAAAGAGAGAGGGAUAUAUAUAUAUGUUCUAUCAAUGAAGCAUAUUACUCUACCUUUGGUAUUUGAGUACUAUUUUUCCACCUUGUUUCACAUUUAUGUGCUUACUCUUGUGUAUAUAUAUAUAUAUAUAUAUAUGCGUGUGUGUGUGUAUAUAUUAUACACACACAUAUAUAUGUACAUGAGUUGUGUCUAAUAUGGAUAAGUCCAUCAUAAGUGGGGUGUGUUUGUAUUUGUCCCCCACUUCUGCUUGACAGCUUGUGUUGGUUUGCUUACGUGCGUGUGACUUAGCGAUUCAGCCAGAAUAGAUCAAUAGAAUAAGUAUCUGUCUUAAAAAACAGACACUGGGGUUGAUUUGUUAGACUAAACCUGUCAUAGUGGUACUCCAGUAUGGUCACAGUCCAAAGACUGAAACCAAUAAAAGUUUAAAAAGUGAGAUAAAACUAAUAUAAAUAAGACAAAAUCACCAUAAUUAGGGAUGUUUAAUUAACAUAACGAGGAAGACUUAAAUAAAGCAUGGAAAAUAGAAGUUAAUGGCGAGAUGUGAAAUAUGAAUGAAGAAAGUACCAGGUACUUUAUUUUUGUUGCUUAGAUAUGAAGAAAGUACAGGAAAUAAUAAUAAUAAUUUCUUUUAUUUGCCACAAGGGCAAAGGAUGAGGGGGACAAUACAAAGACAGUGUUGAGGUUUACGUAUAUUGUGUAUGAUGCUCAGGUGCACUACAACUCAUCAAAGGUACAUGCACAGUGCAUGUAUGAGUCAUGAUAUACAGGUGUGCAUGCAUAUGGAAGAGUAUAUCAGGUGUAGUGUUGGCACAUUUCAGGAAACAUGGAGGUUUUAAAGGAUGCAAUGUCUUGGCAACUAACAACUGAUGCAGGUAGUUUGUUCCAUGCUUCAGCAACUCUGAGUGUGAAAAAGUGUUUCUGAAAGUCAUGGGAGCUGUGCUGUUUUCUGACUUUGGAGGCAUGGCCACAUGUGUUAGACACAUGGAGCCCAAAAAGGUGCUCAAGGUGGUUGUUGGCGCAAUGGUUAAUAAUUUUGUGGGUGUUGACCAAGUUAGUUGCCAGACAUUGGAGCUUCAAUGUGUCCAUGCCCAGGGAAGUAUUCAAAGUAUGGUAGAUGCCUGAUGGAGGGUAUUCACUUAGUUGCAUGUUUUCUGAAUGGUUUCCAGGAAGUCAAUGUCCUGAGCAAGAUCAGGGUUCCAGACUGGUGAUGCAAAUUCCACUUUUGGCCACACCAUAGCCAUAUACAGCCUUAAAUAGAGAGCUGGAGAGUGGCUGACAAAGGUCUUGCUGAGUGAUGCCAAAACACCCUCGGCCUUUAUAAUUAAAUAAUUUUUCAAAAAGUAUGCAUUAACAGAAGGGAAGUGUCCAUAAUAAUGAUAAAGGGAGAUUAAGGCAGAAUUAUUACUGCAUCUGGCAAAAUACCCCGUGGUAUUCUGUAUGUGUAGGUUGUGAGUUCAAUUUCUGUUGAGGUCGAAUUUACCUUUUGUUGUUUCAGGGUUAUUAAAUAUCAGCUGAACUCUGGGGGGGGGGGGGAAUGUAAUUGAUUCAAACCUUCUUUUGAAAUCACUGGCCUUGUGCCAUUUGAACCCAAUAAUAAAACGGGAUUAGCAACAUGAAGGAGGUGAUGGCAACCACUGUAGCACCCUGCUUUCCUGAAUACCAUUGAUAAGAAAGGAAGGGAACAGUAAGAAAAGACAUUCUAAAAACCUUCUGAAGCUCCCUAACACCGAUUGGAUCUCAUUAUUGUGUUUCUUUGGUCCCAUGUCAUUUUUUGUUAAGCAGACAUAUGAACAUUUAUUUCUAAUCCAACUAUGGCCAUCCCUUUUUUUUUUUCCCAUGUUCAAAUCCUACAAAGGUCAGCUUUGCCAUUCAUCCCUUCAAGGUCAAGCACUGUUUCUUCCUGAGUUGCAUAGACUCAGAAGGCCAGUUUCUGUGGUAUAUGUAUUCACCCCCUGGAUGGGGUGUCCUUUGGUCACAGGAUUGCUCAUUUUCGCAAGCUGGGUGGACCAGAGCAAUGUGAAAUGAAUUGCUUUGCUCAAGGACAUGACACACUGCCUGAUCCAGGAAUUGAAACCAGGAUCUUACGAUCAUGAGUCCAAUGGCCUAACCACUGAACCAGGUGCCUUCACUGAGUCGUGUACUGGGGAAAGAUGUAAUCAAUUUGUCUCCUUCUCUGAAAUUUCUCACCUUCAACCCUGUAGCAGACCCGCCCUUCAGAAGAAUGUCAUGUGCUUGGUUACUUAAAUGCCAUGGCAACCAGAGGACUGACUUAGUAAGUCUUAGAACUCAAGAAAAAUAAUCAAAUAGAAAAUAACUUGAAGGAAAUUUGACUGCUAUUUCUACCAAGUUGAGCCACCACGUAGAAGCUCACAAGAAAAACUUGAUUUCCAUAUGGCUAAGAUCCCUUAAUAAAUGAAAGGCCUCCUUAGUUGGGUCCUCUAUCUAAACCCCAGAUAAACAGAAGUCUAUUCUGAUACAAAAUAUCAUUAUUUGAAGAAUUAUUAUUUAUCGCAUCUCUCUUUUUAUUUUUGUUAUUUUUGUGAUAAUUUAUGUAAAAUAUUUACUUUGUUGGGUCUAAUCUGAUUAAUCCAGAUCAGAAUCCAAGAGAAUUUGACUAAUAAAUGGCAUCUGGUUGAA